AGCUUGCUCCUUGAUUCAGCGGCGGACGGGUGAGUAAUGCCUAGGAAUCUGCCUGGUAGUGGGGGACAACGUUUCGAAAGGAACGCUAAUACCGCAUACGUCCUACGGGAGAAAGCAGGGGACCUUCGGGCCUUGCGCUAUCAGAUGAGCCUAGGUCGGAUUAGCUUGUUGGUGAGGUAAUGGCUCACCAAGGCGACGAUCCGUAACUGGUCUGAGAGGAUGAUCAGUCACACUGGAACUGAGACACGGUCCAGACUCCUACGGGAGGCAGCAGUGGGGAAUAUUGGACAAUGGGCGAAAGCCUGAUCCAGCCAUGCCGCGUGUGUGAAGAAGGUCUUCGGAUUGUAAAGCACUUUAAGUUGGGAGGAAGGGCAGUAAGUUAAUACCUUGCUGUUUUGACGUUACCGACAGAAUAAGCACCGGCUAACUCUGUGCCAGCAGCCGCGGUAAUACAGAGGGUGCAAGCGUUAAUCGGAAUUACUGGGCGUAAAGCGCGCGUAGGUGGUUUGUUAAGUUGGAUGUGAAAGCCCCGGGCUCAACCUGGGAACUGCAUCCAAAACUGGCAAGCUAGAGUACGGUAGAGGGUGGUGGAAUUUCCUGUGUAGCGGUGAAAUGCGUAGAUAUAGGAAGGAACACCAGUGGCGAAGGCGACCACCUGGACUGAUACUGACACUGAGGUGCGAAAGCGUGGGGAGCAAACAGGAUUAGAUACCC
RNAcentral lists this ribosomal RNA (714 nucleotides) under Pseudomonas sp. Its description in RNAcentral is "bacterial SSU rRNA". It matches the Rfam family "Bacterial small subunit ribosomal RNA", at positions 77 to 787 of the family's 1533-position model. Lineage: Bacteria; Pseudomonadati; Pseudomonadota; Gammaproteobacteria; Pseudomonadales; Pseudomonadaceae. The record is from RNAcentral.